This 1185-nucleotide long non-coding RNA is filed under the name Oncorhynchus kisutch (coho salmon). RNAcentral's name for it is "lncRNA (ENSOKIG00005015125.1)". Lineage: Eukaryota; Metazoa; Chordata; Actinopteri; Salmoniformes; Salmonidae. The record is from RNAcentral.
ACCACUUACCUCUUGAAGCCCGACUUCCUAUUCCCUAGCUUCUGAAAGGAUAUAUCACCCAAAGUAGCUACAUAGACAUAGGAAGUAGUGUAUAGAUUACACUAGUAUACAUGAACUAUCAGCAACCAUAUAACUCAUAAGGCCAACGUCUGUCUGUACGCAGUAAGAGUCUGACGUAGAUCCUCUGAGACAUUAAUGACCUGAGACACACACACACACGGUCUGUGGCUCAGCAUUGAUGUCAGUGCCCAGUGGGAAGAGGGUCAGACUGAGACUGGGGAGACACUAAGAAAGAGAACAUACAGAGUGGCGUCAUCCCCUUGGACGCUUUGACACACACACAACAUCACUGCAUGUGACUGUGUGUCUUUGUUUCAGGGUGGGGUGAAGGUGUUGAUAACAGGUCCCUGGCUGGAGGCCAGCAGGGAGUACAGCUGUCUGUUUGACCACAUCAGUGUCCCAGCUGCUCUCAUACAGCCAGGAGUACUGCGCUGCUACUGCCCUGGUAACACACUCACACACACAGAGACAUGCAUACACUCAGCAAACUAGUUUCUCAUGCACACACUCUAUUACUAAUCCCAACCCGUGUGUGUGUGUGUGUGUGUGUGUGUGUGUGUGUGUGUGUGUGUGUGUGUGUGUGUGUGUGUGUGUGUGUGUGUGUGUUUGUGUGUGUGUCUUAGCCCAUGAAACAGGUUUGGUGAUGCUGCAGGUGGCUAUGGGUGGGGAUGUGAUCUCUUCCUCUGUGGUGUUUGAGUAUAAAGCUCGAGACUUGCCCGCCCUGCCCUCCUCACAACACGACUGGUUGUCCCUGGACGAUGAGCUCUCUGUCGUGCGUAGCUGGCAGGCUAUGCUCCAUUCUGAUUGGCUGUAGUAGUUGUGUUAAAGGGGAGGAGCUCUUAUGUCACAGUUGUCGUCCCACCCUCUUCUCCUCCUCUGUGUGUGCCGCAUCCUGAGAGAGAGAGAGAGAGAGCGAGAGAGAGAGAGAGAGAGAGAUAGAGAGACGGAGAUGGAGAUGGAGAGGGAGAAAGAGAGACCAUCAGGUGGGGAUGACAUAAUCUGCACUGCAGCAACACUGCAGUAGCAUUUGAACAAAGACGCGCGCAAGCACACACACACACACACACACAGUGCAAGUACACACUCCUGUUCUCUCUCACAUAGAUACAAACAUUGACUAUUGUU